UUUGCAGGAUAAGUGUGUAUCAGUUAAAUGCUUUUGCUAUGCAUUUCUUGCUGAAAGUGCUUCCUGCUAUAUUAAUUUGUGGAAAGUGGGCAGUUGGGUUGAGCUUGAUAAUCUCUUUCGCCAACAAUCAUUUUCCUCUCAUUA
This is a non-coding RNA of Triticum aestivum (bread wheat), 144 nucleotides long. NCBI's taxonomy places the organism in Eukaryota, Viridiplantae, Streptophyta, Magnoliopsida, Poales, Poaceae. The record is from Rfam.